Molecule: ribosomal RNA, 497 nt
Filed under: uncultured bacterium
Lineage: Bacteria
Description: partial 16S ribosomal RNA
Rfam family: Bacterial small subunit ribosomal RNA
Source: RNAcentral
GCUGAACGCUGGCGGCGUGCCUAAUACAUGCAAGUCGAGCGAACAGACGAGGAGCUUGCUACUCUGACGUUAGCGGCGGAAGGGUGAGUAACACGUGGAUAACCUACCUAUAAGACUGGGUUAACUUCGGGAAACCGGAGCUAAUACCGGAUAAUAUAUUGAACCGCAUGGUUCCAUAGUGAAAGACGGUUUUGCUUUCACUUAUAGAUGGAUCCGCGCCGCAUUAGCUAGUUGGUAAGGUAACGGCUUACCAAGGCAACGAUGCGUAGACGACCUGAGAGGGUGAUCGACCACACUGGAACUGAGACACGGUCCAGACUCCUACGGGAGGCAGCAGUAGGGAAUCUUCCGCAAUGGGCGAAAGCCUGACGGAGCAACGCCGCGUGAGUGAUGAAGGUCUUCGGAUCGUAAAACUCUGUUAUUAGGGAAGAACAAAUGUGUAAGUAACUAUGCACGUCUUUACGGUACCUAAUCAGAAAGCCACGACUAACUACGUG